Molecule: ribosomal RNA, 475 nt
Filed under: uncultured bacterium
Lineage: Bacteria
Description: bacterial SSU rRNA
Rfam family: Bacterial small subunit ribosomal RNA
Source: RNAcentral
GGCGGCAUGCCUUACACAUGCAAGUCGAACGGCAGCACGGGAGCAAUCCUGGUGGCGAGUGGCGAACGGGUGAGUAAUGUAUCGGAACGUACCUUCAGUGGGGGAUAACGUAGCGAAAGUUACGCUAAUACCGCAUAUUCUGUGAGCAGGAAAGCAGGGGGAUCGCAAGACCUUGCGCUGAUUGAGCGGCCGAUAUCAGAUUAGCUAGUUGGUGAGGUAAAGGCUCACCAAGGCGACGAUCUGUAGCGGGGUCUGAGAGGAUGAUCCGCCACACUGGAACUGAGACACGGUCCAGACUCCUACGGGAGGCAGCAGUGGGGAAUUUUGGACAAUGGGCGCAAGCCUGAUCCAGCCAUGCCGCGUGAGUGAAGAAGGCCUUCGGGUUGUAAAGCUCUUUCAGCCGGGAAGAAAACGCAUGGGUUAAUACCCUGUGUGGAUGACGGUACCGGAAUAAGAAGCACCGGCUAACUACGUG